RNAcentral lists this long non-coding RNA (822 nucleotides) under Homo sapiens (human). RNAcentral describes it as "HSALNT0311575". Lineage: Eukaryota; Metazoa; Chordata; Mammalia; Primates; Hominidae. The record is from RNAcentral.
CUCUUGUCUCACACUGCCACGAGUUAGCUGUGUGGCCUGAACACCCAGCUGUCCCUUUGGGCCUUAGUUCCUUCCUCAGUAAAAUAAGAGGCAACUGAGACACAAAGAAGUUAAGUAAUCUGUCCCCAUUCAAGAGAGAGAACAUGGGCUCCACCUCUUGAUGAGGGAGUGGCAAACUUUAGGAGAGCAUGUGGGACCAGAAACAUUGUCGCAACCAUUUGUAGAAAAUACAGUCUAACACAUCAUACUCUCCUUCAGAGAAUUGGAUGAACCAGAAGCAGAGACGCACUGUAUAGAAGAGUCCACAGAAUAUUUAGAACCUUAUGUAAAAAUCAGAAACUCCAAGAAUGCCAGCCAAGAAUUUUCUGAGGUAAGAAUUUUCUCAUUCCAAGCAAUGACCCAUCAGAGAAUCAAGAAGCUAAGGGAUUUGUGUCUAGAAUAGAUUUAUUCAAGUUCUGCUUGGGAUGACCUAACUUUAGUUGAGUUAGAAAAUAAAAAGUGGUUGUCAACCUAUACAUGGGUGUUUUCCUAGACAAGUAUUGUUCCAUGUUUAUCUUCAUGAAAAAGGGAAACAAAAGUCACACUAGCCAUACUUAGGAUUCGGAUCACAAAUUUUUUUUUCAUUUUAACAUGCACAGUAGAUCAGACAUAGCUUUGUUGUGGUCAGCACAACCUGGAUAGAAACAUAUUUUGAGUUUUUCUCUUAUUAAAUCUGUCUCUUUAAGUGUGAUAAAGCAGUUGAGAUAGAAAUCAGAUAUUUACUCCUCAGACUGGAGUAAAAUUUUCAUAGAGAAAUUUAGCUGACAAAUAUUAAGCAUUAUG